This 285-nucleotide ribosomal RNA is filed under the name Triticum aestivum (bread wheat). RNAcentral describes it as "partial small subunit ribosomal RNA". The record is from RNAcentral. Lineage: Eukaryota; Viridiplantae; Streptophyta; Magnoliopsida; Poales; Poaceae.
GGUUGCAACCGUCUAAUUAUUAACUCUGAUAUCUGGGAGGUCAUCGAAACAUUGAAUAAUGGAGGACGGUCAUCAAGUACAACGGCGACAGUGUUUGACGAUUGUUAUUUUUUGGCUUGUGAUUUUCCCAUUAGUAGACUCGAGCACUGUAAUAGAGAAGCCAACAGGGUUGCCCAUGAACUUUCUAAGUUAGCUAGAUUUUCUUCAGCUUUGAGCUGGUUUGAGGAGCCUUCGAGUGAAAUAGUACGCCUCCUCAUUAACGAUGUACUUGUUAUUGAAAAUUAA